Molecule: small nucleolar RNA, 69 nt
Organism: Apus apus (common swift)
Lineage: Eukaryota; Metazoa; Chordata; Aves; Apodiformes; Apodidae
Product: small nucleolar RNA SNORD58
Exons: 1
Source: RefSeq, a predicted model, not a curated record
CUGCGGUGACGACUUUCUUAGGAAAACUUUGGAUUUAAGCGUGAAAAGAAAUUGUAAUUUCUGAGCAGC